This 775-nucleotide non-coding RNA is filed under the name Hestina persimilis. Lineage: Eukaryota; Metazoa; Arthropoda; Insecta; Lepidoptera; Nymphalidae. The record is from RNAcentral.
AAAUAAAUUUUUUAUGUUUUAUAAAUUUUAUUAUAAAUUUAUUUUACAUAUAAAUUUUAGUAUGAAAUUUUAAUUAUUUAAAUAAUAAUUAAUUAUUUAAGUAGUAAUUAGUAUUAAAAAUUUAAGAAAUUAAGAUUUAGUAAUAUAAAAAUUAAUAACUAAUUUUGUGCCAGCAGUUGCGGUUAUACAAAGAUUAAAUUAAAUUAUUUCAGUUUAUAAUAAAUAAUUUCAAAUUAAAAUAAAUAUUAAAUUAUUGGGUGAAAUUUUAAUUUAAUUAAAUUUUAUAUUUAAAUUAUGAUUUAGUAAAUUUUAAUAUAAACUAGGAUUAGAUACCCUAUUAUUAAAAAAUUAAUUUAUAAUACUAAAAUAGUAGAUAAUUAUUUAUUGAAACUUGAAUAAUAUGGCGGUAUUUUAGUUCAUUUAGAGGAAUCUGUUAAUUAAUUGAUAAUCCACGAAUAAAUUUACUUAAUUUUAAAUUUUGUAUAUCAUUGUUAAAAAAAUAUUUUUAAAUAAAAAUAAUAUUUAAAAUUUUAAAAAUAAAAUUAGUUCAGAUCAAGAUGCAGAUUAUAAUUAAGAUUAUAAUGGAUUACAAUAAAAUUAUUUAAAUGGAUAAUAUUAAUGAAAUUUAUAUUUGAAAGUGGAUUUAAAUGUAAUUUUAUUUAAUUUAUUAAAAUGAUUUAAAAUUAGAAUAUGUACAUAUUGCCCGUCACUUUCAUUUUAAAGUUGAAAUAAGUCGUAACAAAGUAGAUGUACUGGAAAGUGUAUCUAGAAAGAA